RNAcentral lists this ribosomal RNA (494 nucleotides) under uncultured bacterium. RNAcentral describes it as "partial 16S ribosomal RNA". It matches the Rfam family "Bacterial small subunit ribosomal RNA", at positions 28 to 507 of the family's 1533-position model. The record is from RNAcentral.
GACGAACGCUGGCGGCGUGCUUAACACAUGCAAGUCGGACGGAAAGGCCUGCUUUCCCUUGUGGAUUGCGGGUACUCGAGUGGCGAACGGGUGAGUAACACGUGAGUGAUCUGCCCCCAACUUGGGUAUAAGCCUGGGAAACUGGGUCUAAUUCCCGAUAGGACUGCAGGGUGGUGCCUGUGGUGGAAAACGAUUUUCUAGUGGUUGGGGAUGAGCUCGCGGCCUAUCAGCUUGUUGGUGGGGUAAUGGCCUACCAAGGCGGCGACGGGUAGCCGGCCUGAGAGGGUGGACGGCCACAUUGGGACUGAGAUACGGCCCAGACUCCUACGGGAGGCAGCAGUGGGGAAUAUUGCACAAUGGGCGGAAGCCUGAUGCAGCGACGCCGCGUGGGGGAUGACGGCCUUCGGGUGGUAAACUCCUUUCGACCGCGAGGAAGCCACCUGGUUGGAAGGGUGGUGACGGUAGUGGUAGAAGAAGCACCGGCUAACUACGUG